Molecule: ribosomal RNA, 279 nt
Filed under: uncultured bacterium
Lineage: Bacteria
Description: partial 16S ribosomal RNA
Rfam family: Bacterial small subunit ribosomal RNA
Source: RNAcentral
UGCCAGCAGCCGCGGUAAUACGGAGGGGGCAAGCGUUAUUCGGAAUUAUUGGGCGUAAAGGGCGCGUAGGCGGCCAUGCAAGUCAGGGGUGAAAUCCCUCGGCUCAACCGAGGAACUGCCUCUGAAACUGCAUGGCUUGAGGCCGGGAGAGGGUGGUGGAAUUCCUAGUGUAGCGGUGAAAUGCGUAGAUAUUAGGAGGAACACCAGUGGCGAAGGCGACCACCUGGACCGGAUCUGACGCUGAGGCGCGAAAGUGUGGGGAGCAAACAGGAUUAGAUA